This 69-nucleotide transfer RNA is filed under the name Bos indicus (zebu cattle). It matches the Rfam family "tRNA". From Rfam's summary of the family: Transfer RNA (tRNA) molecules are approximately 80 nucleotides in length. Their secondary structure includes four short double-helical elements and three loops (D, anti-codon, and T loops). RNAcentral also lists the same sequence under 1 other name. The record is from Rfam by way of RNAcentral. Lineage: Eukaryota; Metazoa; Chordata; Mammalia; Artiodactyla; Bovidae.
CCUGGUAGCUCAGACGGUAAAGCGUCUGCCUGCAAUGCGGGAGACCUGGGUUCGAUCCCUGGGUCAGGA